AGCUCUAACCUGCCCUUCACUCACCAGGACUCCUCAGCUCAGCUUCUCAAAAUGAGGCUCCCUGCUCAGCUCCUGGGGCUGCUGCUCCUCUGGAUCUCUGGAAGCAGUGGGGAUAUUGUGAUGACCCAGACCCCUCUCUCUGAGCCCUUCACCCCUGGACAGUCAGCCUCCAUCUCCUGCAAGUCCAGUCAGAGUCUCCUUCACAAUAAUGGAAACAUGUAUUUGCACUGGGUGGUGCACAAGCCAGGCCAAUCUCCACGGGGUCUAAUAUAUGUUGUUUCCAACCAGUAUACUGGGAUCCCAGACAGGUUCAGUGGCAGUGGGUCAGGGACAGAUUUCACACUGAGAAUCAGAAGGGUGGAUCCUGAUGAUGCUGGAAUAUAUUACUGUGUGCAAGCUACACAUUAUCCUCCCACAUUGGUGCAACCCCAACAAAAACCUCCCUUCCUGGGUGGCCCAGCUGCCACAUGAGCUGCUGGUCUGGGCAGCAGCUCAGCAAAUUCUCUGGCCUGUGAGAGGAAGGUGCUGGGAACUCAGAGAAUAGGUGCAGCUGAGGGCUGUGGACCAUGACUGCCUGGGCCACAGCUCAGGCCACACCCAUGAGUGGCCCUGUCAGCUGCAGCAGCCUGGCCUGGCAUGUGGAAGACAAGCAGAGAGGUGUCCAGGGACCUUCUGAAUGAGCAGACAGGAUGAGUGUGAACACUGCAGAGGGAGGAGAACCUGCCUUGGGCAGGACUUGGCCAAGUUAGUGAAGAGAUGAAAUGAAAUGCCAGAGGUCCCUCCAAAAGCUGCUCUGUGUGAAAUUCAGAUUCAAACCAAAUAAAACAAACAAACAAAAGAAACAGAAA
Molecule: non-coding RNA, 848 nt
Organism: Marmota flaviventris (yellow-bellied marmot)
Lineage: Eukaryota; Metazoa; Chordata; Mammalia; Rodentia; Sciuridae
Source: RefSeq, a predicted model, not a curated record